CCAACGGUCAAGUUGCCGACAUCGCGCUCUCCGAGGAGGCAUUUUUUACGUUAUUUUUGAUGGUUGAAGAGAACGAAUGCUUGUGGAAAAUCGACCAUGAGGGGUAUAAGAACGUCCACAACAAAGACCGUAUUUGGAAGGAAAUAUGCAGACGGCUGCAGGAAAGGUUUCCGAACCUGAAUGCCCUGAAACCAGAUGAAAUAAAAAGACAGUUCAACAACAAAAGACGUCAGUACCAGGACGAAAAAAAAAAAGAAGACCUUCGUCAGAAGUGGUCAAGCUGCUCCCACCUACGUUGGAAAAUGGAAGUUUUUUAGCGCGCUCUCUUUUCUUGAGCAAAAGUGUCCGCCACCACCCCAAGGACACGUACUGGGAGUAGAAGAGGAGCUUCGUGAGGAAGACCUGGCGUUUUCUGUGGUUGACGGGGAGGCUCCAGUCGACAGUCCGUCUGAGCCGGACAACUUGGAGGACGACCCGCAGCCAGAGCCACAGCGCGAGCCACAGCUGCCGAAAAAGAAAAAGCCGAAGAAGGGCAGCGACGACAGCUGUGAGGGCAGGCUGGCCGCCCUCAACAACAUUGCUGCCGCCUUGACAGUACCCACGGAGGAUGACGAGUGCGCCAUUUUCGGCAGACUCAUCGCUAGCCGCCUCAGGCGUCAGCCAGCUGAAAGACAAAGCUGGUUUCAAGUUUUGAUGCUUGAGUACGCUACCACUCUGGAGAACACAGAGAUGCCACCCAAGUAAAUGCUGUUGUUAAUGUAAAAAAAUAUUUCAUUGUAUAAAAUUUGUU
This 790-nucleotide long non-coding RNA is filed under the name Ixodes scapularis (black-legged tick). RNAcentral describes it as "uncharacterized LOC115308453". Lineage: Eukaryota; Metazoa; Arthropoda; Arachnida; Ixodida; Ixodidae. The record is from RNAcentral.